UCCCGGAUCUGGGUUUAAGCUAACUUCAUGAAUUUCUUUAGUGCGGGAUCUUUGUCUUAUUAACACUGAAUUCAAUGUAGAUCGACAUUCCGGUGCUACAGCCAAAAGUUGCUUCAUUGUAAUUGAAGGCUGAAUAACAUCCAAAUCCCUGAGAAUGUCGUAGGAUUCCAUAUUGAGAGUAAUUUUCAAUGCUCUUUUGCGUUUCAUUGGUUUCGAUUUUAUUUCUUUCGGUAGC
Molecule: long non-coding RNA, 235 nt
Filed under: Physcomitrium patens
Lineage: Eukaryota; Viridiplantae; Streptophyta; Bryopsida; Funariales; Funariaceae
Description: long non-coding RNA (PPAT_LNC010491)
Source: RNAcentral